Molecule: ribosomal RNA, 392 nt
Filed under: Pseudo-nitzschia sp.
Lineage: Eukaryota; Bacillariophyta; Bacillariophyceae; Bacillariales; Bacillariaceae
Description: partial small subunit ribosomal RNA
Rfam family: Eukaryotic small subunit ribosomal RNA
Source: RNAcentral
AUUCCAGCUCCAAUAGCGUAUAUUAAAGUUGUUGCAGUUAAAAAGCUCGUAGUUGGAUUUGUGGUGUGUCCAGUCGACCUUUGCUCUUUGAGUGAUUGUGUUGUACUGGUCUGCCAUGUUUGGGUGGAAUCUGUGUGGCAUUAAGUUGUCGUGCAGGGGAUGCCCAUCGUUUACUGUGAAAAAAUUAGAGUGUUCAAAGCAGGCUUAUGCCGUUGAAUAUAUUAGCAUGGAAUAAUGAUAUAGGACCUUGGUACUAUUUUGUUGGUUUGCGCACUAAGGUAAUGAUUAAGAGGGACAGUUGGGGGUAUUUGUAUUCCAUUGUCAGAGGUGAAAUUCUUGGAUUUUUGGAAGACAAACUACUGCGAAAGCAUUUACCAAGGAUGUUUUCAUUA